GAGUGAACGCUGGCGGUAGGCCUAACACAUGCAAGUCGAACGGCAGCACAGUAAGAGCUUGCUCUUACGGGUGGCGCGUGGCGGACGGGAGAGGAAUACAACGGAAUCUACUUUUUCGUGGUGGCUACCGUAGGGAAACUUACGCUAAUACCGCAUACGACCUACGGGUGAAAGCAGGGGAUCUUCGGACCUUGCGCGAUUGAAUGAGUCGAUGUCGGCUUAGCUAGCUGGCAGGGUAAAGGCCUACCAAGGAGACGAGCCAUAGCCGACCUGAGUGGGUGAUCGGCCACACUGGAACUGAGACACGGUCCAGACUCCUACGGGAGGCAGCAGUCGGGAAGCUUCCGCAAGGGGCGAAAGCCUGAAGGAGCAACGCCGCGUGAGUGAUGAAGGUCUUCGGAUCGUAAAACUCUGUUAUUAGGGAAGAACAUAUGUGUAAGUAACUGUGCACAUCUUGACGGUACCUAAUCAGAAAGCCACGGCUAACUACGUG
Molecule: ribosomal RNA, 493 nt
Filed under: uncultured bacterium
Lineage: Bacteria
Description: partial 16S ribosomal RNA
Rfam family: Bacterial small subunit ribosomal RNA
Source: RNAcentral